AUGUGACUGUGGAUCGAGCCCAUGUGAAGCCUCUUCGACGAGUCGAGUUGUUUGGGAAUGCAGCUCAAAAUGGGUGGUAAAUUUCAUCUAAAGCUAAAUACUGGCUGGAGACCGAUAGCGCACAAGUAGAGUGAUCGAAAGAUGAAAAGCACUUUGGAAAGAGAGUCAAACAGUACGUGAAAUUGUUGAAAGGGAAGCGCUUGCAACCAGACCUGUCCGUAGGUGAUCAGCCGCUGUUCUCAGUGGUGCACUCGCUCUGCGAUCAGGCCAGCAUCGGUUCGGGCGGUCGGAUAAAGGCCUUGGGAAUGUAGCUUCCUUCGGGGAGCCUUAUAGCCCUCGGUGCAAUGCGGCCAGCCGGGACCGAGGACCGCGCUUCGGCUAGGAUGCUGGCGUAAUGGUUGUAAGCGACCCGUCUUGAAACACGGACCAAGGAGUCUAACAUCUAUGCGAGUGUUUGGGUGUCAAACCCAUGCGCGGAAUGAAAGUGAACGGAGGUGAGAACCCUCAAGGGCGCAUCAUCGACCGAUCCAGAUGUCUUCGGAUGGAUUUGAGUAUGAGCAUAGCUGUUGGGACCCGAAAGAUGGUGAACUAUGCCUGAAUAGGGUGAAGCCAGAGGAAACUCUGGUGGAGGCUCGCAGCGGUUCUGACGUGCAAAUCGAUCGUCAAAUUUGGGUAUAGGGGCGAAAGACUAAUCGAAGCUGAGUGGAA
Molecule: ribosomal RNA, 708 nt
Filed under: Hypogymnia subarticulata
Lineage: Eukaryota; Fungi; Ascomycota; Lecanoromycetes; Lecanorales; Parmeliaceae
Description: partial 28S large subunit ribosomal RNA
Rfam family: Eukaryotic large subunit ribosomal RNA
Source: RNAcentral